GGAACGACUCUUGGCAAUGGAUAUCUUGGCUCUUGCAUCGAUGAAGAACGUAGCGAAAUGCGAUACUUGGUGUGAAUUGCAGAAUCCCGUGAACCAUCGAAUCUUUGAACGCAAGUUGCGCCGGAAGCCAACAUGGUCGACGGCUCGUUUGCUUGGGGGUCAAAUG
This 166-nucleotide ribosomal RNA is filed under the name Cuscuta indecora var. attenuata. RNAcentral describes it as "5.8S ribosomal RNA". It matches the Rfam family "5.8S ribosomal RNA". From Rfam's summary of the family: 5.8S ribosomal RNA (5.8S rRNA) is a component of the large subunit of the eukaryotic ribosome. It is transcribed by RNA polymerase I as part of the 45S precursor that also contains 18S and 28S rRNA. Functionally, it is thought that 5.8S rRNA may be involved in ribosome translocation. Lineage: Eukaryota; Viridiplantae; Streptophyta; Magnoliopsida; Solanales; Convolvulaceae. The record is from RNAcentral.